GUCACAGAGACCAAAAAUAACUGAGGAGAGGAAGGGCGGCUGUAAGCUCACACAGGGCCCCACCAACACCACCUACCUCUUCCUCACUGGGGCUGGAACCUUUUCCUCUGCCCUCUAGUAACAACCACUUCCUAACCACCUUUUUUGAUCUGAUGGUGGGGUAGACUAAAGAGACAAACUAUGACCCUGGCCACUGGAGCAGUCAGCCCCCUCUUACCCAAGUAGUCCUCAGGCCCCUAGCAAACACUCCCCAGUCCUUC
Molecule: long non-coding RNA, 260 nt
Filed under: Homo sapiens (human)
Lineage: Eukaryota; Metazoa; Chordata; Mammalia; Primates; Hominidae
Description: non-protein coding lnc-SLC16A11-2:1
Source: RNAcentral